Molecule: ribosomal RNA, 261 nt
Filed under: uncultured bacterium
Lineage: Bacteria
Description: partial 16S ribosomal RNA
Rfam family: Bacterial small subunit ribosomal RNA
Source: RNAcentral
UACGUAGGGUGCAAGCGUUUAAUCGGAAUUACUGGGCGUAAAGCGUGCGCAGGCGGUUAUGUAAGACAGUUGUGAAAUCCCCGGGCUCAACCUGGGAACUGCAUCUGUGACUGCAUAGCUAGAGUACGGUAGAGGGGGAUGGAAUUCCGCGUGUAGCAGUGAAAUGCGUAGAUAUGCGGAGGAACACCGAUGGCGAAGGCAAUCCCCUGGACCUGUACUGACGCUCAUGCACGAAAAGCGUGGGGAGCAAACAGGAUUAGA